This 576-nucleotide ribosomal RNA is filed under the name Triticum aestivum (bread wheat). RNAcentral describes it as "partial small subunit ribosomal RNA". Lineage: Eukaryota; Viridiplantae; Streptophyta; Magnoliopsida; Poales; Poaceae. The record is from RNAcentral.
AUGCUCAGCUCAUUCGGGAGCGCCUCGAUGCCGGCGACCUGGAGGAGCCGUGGCGUUUGGCAGAUGGCUUACUCCUGCAUGGGCGCCGCCUCUUCGUGCCGGAUCACGACGACCUCCGUCACCAGGUUCUGCUGCAAGCACACUCGGCCGGCCACAAGGGUGUGCAGAAGACCCUUCACCGUCUCCUCGCCGAUUUCUACCUCCCCGACGAUCAAGCCCUGGUCCGAGACUGGGUGCGGUCUUGUGUUACGUGCCAGCGUAACAAGACGGAGACACUGCACCCAGCUGGGCUGCUACAGCCCCUGGAGGUGCCCUCUCAAGUCUGGGCCGAUAUCUCCAUGGACUUCAUCGAGGGCCUCCCUAAGGUGGGCGGCAAGUCCGUCAUCCUCACGGUGGUCGACCGCUUCUCCAAGUACGCACACUUCAUCGCGCUCGACCAUCCCUACACCGCCGCUUCCGUGGCUCGUGCAUUCUUUGACGGCAUCGUCCGCCUACACGGGUUUCCCUCUUCGAUCGUCAGCGACCGGGACCCGGUGUUCACGGGGCAUGUCUGGCGCGAUCUCUUCCGGAUGGUAG